GCUGGUGUGGCUCAAUUGGUAGAGCAGCUGACUUGUAAUCAGCAGGUUGUAGGUUCGAGUCCUAUCACCAGCUCCA
Molecule: transfer RNA, 76 nt
Filed under: Peptacetobacter hiranonis
Lineage: Bacteria; Bacillati; Bacillota; Clostridia; Peptostreptococcales; Peptostreptococcaceae
Also listed under: 4 other names
Description: [Clostridium] hiranonis tRNA-Thr
Rfam family: tRNA
About the family: Transfer RNA (tRNA) molecules are approximately 80 nucleotides in length. Their secondary structure includes four short double-helical elements and three loops (D, anti-codon, and T loops).
Source: RNAcentral